GUUAUUUUGGCCGCAGCCAAAGUAGAAGUUGUGGAAAACGUCACUUGGGCUUAAAGUAAGUGUCUCUUUACCAAAGAAGCCAACGGAAAAAGAAGAGUCUCCAUAUUGGAUGCCAUAUACACAUGUUGAGGAAGCACAUUUAAGCGUAUGCCCUGUGUAGAAAUUAAUUAAAGAAGGUUUUCAAAUCAAUUAGUUUCUUUCUUUUCCAUAACUAAAGAUUAUGAGUUCGAGCUCUAAUAUGAAACAAGAAAUUAAAAAGAUGUGGAUACCUGUUGCAGAAGCGAGAGAAUCACAGAGAGAGGAGCCACAGGAUAUGUUGGUGUACGAUGUAGACUGAGAGGGAUUGAAAAUAGGGUCUUGUUGUUCAUAGCAAGACCUGACACAGGGCUCACAUUGUGUCCAUGUGAGGUCGCUUCCAGUGUCGAAGAUGAGGGAAAGGUCCCUUUUUGGUGUACCAAGUCCUACAGUCACGAUAUAAUUGGCUGCACCAAUGCUUUUGCCGUCCUUGGCCGGAAGCGUAGCUGCUGAAUCUGUCACCUUCACAUCUCUGCGACCCCACAACUUAGAUUGAAUUGAUUCGACUCUCGAUUCAUCUUGCAGAAGGAUCUCCGUGUGAUUUGGAGCCUUUCCCCCAGCUUUGCCUUGAUUUAGUUGCAAGCAUGGUCCAUGCUUGUGGACUACUUUCAAUGAUGUCUUCUUCUCUACCACUGAAAAUUAACAGAUAAACACCAACAUUCUUAACAACUUGUUUAAUGUUUGUUUGUUUAAUGCUCAUAAGUGGGCUUCUUAGCACAAGUUUUCUUUCUUGUGUUGUUGAGCCUGACCCUCUUCAGUUGUG
Molecule: unclassified non-coding RNA, 838 nt
Filed under: Hevea brasiliensis (rubber tree)
Lineage: Eukaryota; Viridiplantae; Streptophyta; Magnoliopsida; Malpighiales; Euphorbiaceae
Source: RNAcentral